GUGAGGAUAUUUAUAUUAUUUGACAUAUUAUUUGAUAGCAUGUCAACUUUUGUGUGUGUGUGUGUGUGUGUGGGUGGGUGGGUGUUGGAUCAGUGACAGGUGGCGCUGGGGAGUUACCACGGCGAGCGGCUGGCUGGCUGCAGUGUUUUGGUCAGCACUGGUCAAUCUUGCCCUACACGCUCUAGUAACCAGUGUUUCCGUCUUCCCGACACCUUCUUCCUGCACCAAGCACCGUCAAGCAUCACCAGAGAGGCACGAGUACGUAAGCUAUCCAACAUCAGAACAGUAUAUGAAUAUGGCAAAUGCUGUUUUGACAUCAUUUCCUGCCAUCCUGAGAAAAGGUGAUCACGAGGAGCAUGAAUUGCAGCUGUAAUGGAAAUUGCGCAUCCAGUGCAAGUUUCAGAAUUCAAGAAAGAGGCAGGAUUCCUCAGUGACUGAGGUGACGUCAAGGAAAAAGAAGAUCCCUUGCAUAGUGCCAAAACAGACUACGUGUCCACUGAUGUAUGGAGUAAAGGCUUACCUUCCACCAAGGCCCCAUUCAGAAGAUGAUGAGUCAUUAGAGAGACAUAGACAGUGGCUUGCUCUACAUUGGAUGAAGAAAGAUCCCGAGUUAGAUAAGAUAAUCAAGAAGUUUCUGAGAUUAGAACCACAAGCGGAUGAACCAAACCCAAGAGUAGCAGUUUUGAAAGGGCUGGAGAAAUAUAGGCUCCCAAUAAUUGCAAUUCUCAAAGAAAAGAAAAAGCAGUUCCUCUGUAUAUGGAAACCUUACUUGAACUAUAUGACCACGAUGAAAGUCAAUGUGAGUAAUGUCUAGUUCAAUUUGUUCAUUUCAGUAGCUGGUAGCAAUUUAAUAUAUGUAUCUUUUCAUCAUUAGCAAUGCAUCUUUCACUUUUAUAAGCCUAGUAUUCAUGAAACUAUGCUGCAUGCAAAAACCAAACAUUGUAUUAAGCAUGACCUAUCUAACUGUAAUGCUUGCACCAAUUUCUAUAAAGGUACUAAUUUAAUUGUUAAAUUCCUGCUCUUCUAUCAAAUUUUUGGCUGAGUGCUAUGGCUAAAUAAUUGUUUGCAGCAUAAGUGAUGUUAAAGAUUUUAAUAGGUGUAAAGCAUCUCUCUCUCUCUCUCUCUCUCUCUCUCUCUCUCUCUCUCUCUCUCUCUUGUAAGGAAAGACAUUAUUUCUAGUGUAAAUAAACCCAAUAGGCUGUCCAAUUUGAAAUUUAAAAUGUAAAUAUCAUCAAUCUUUUUAGAAAUGUUAGCUGCAUCCUCUUCCCUUGCAGUCCAAUAAGACAGGUCACUAAUUUGUGUGGAGAUAGAAUUCUUGGAGUCACCUUUGCCGGCACUAGCGCAAGUGCAAACAGUCUGAUAAAGGUUUCUUCCAUGGUUGUGAUGAAGUUCAGGAGUUCUCACUCUGUUUUGGUGGAUAUGAUGAGAAGAAUCGGGAGUUCGGAACAUCAGUGCGUUAUGUCGGGGCAUGUAGGUUCAGCUGGGGUUUUCUUUCUUUCUUUCUUUCUUUUUUUUUUCGAUCAGUACUCAUCAUAUUCUUACGAGGACUUGCUAGACAAAGCAUUAUUGCAUUAUGAUAUUACCCAAAUAAUGUCUCAAGUAAAAAACAUAACCGCAUACUCGUACAAAAGAUUUGCUGCUGUGACACAAAGGACAAAAAUCAUUAGUAUACUGGUCGUUCUGAGCAUUCAAUCAAAAUGCUUGUCAUUCAUAAAUUUAGUAGAACCAUCGAGGAGCUUUAUUUUUAUUAAUUCUUAUGUGAUAAAGCAAUAAUUACAGGAGACUUUUAAAAGAUUGGUACUCAAAUUAGUGGACUGUCCUAUUGGAUGUGACCAUAUCUUCACUUUUUUCCUUACACAGUUAAUUUUCUUUUGUUUAUUUGAUUUACUUAUUAUCAUAUUUAUUUAUAUAUUUAUUUAUUUGCACCAGAUGCUUGCUUAGUUAUAUUGGGGUUACUUCACCUGCUUGGAGAAAGGAAAGACUCCAUUUUUACUAAGGUUAAAUUUCAGUACCUUUGAUUUUAGAGUGGUGUGUAUAUAUUGAAAUUUCUGAAUAUAUUAUCACCUUAAGAUAUGCAUCUACAUAUAAAUCUUAUUUUAAUGUCAAAAUGUUAUUAAUUCUUCCUUAAGGUAACAGAAGAAGAAUUAAGAACAGGGCAGUCUAGUGUGUAUUUGAUGGUGCACCUGUAGCUGAACCAACAUGUAUUUCUAUGGCUGUAGUCUCAUUGGUAGCAGGGCUUUGUGUUUAAUAUUGAAUACCCAAAAAAUUCUGAACAUUUCUUCCGUUUCACAACAUCCCAUCCCUUAGGUAUCAAGUAUGACAAAGGUAACACUUCAAAAACAAGAUCUCUACUUGUAAAACUCAAUGAA
Molecule: long non-coding RNA, 2369 nt
Organism: Scylla paramamosain (green mud crab)
Lineage: Eukaryota; Metazoa; Arthropoda; Malacostraca; Decapoda; Portunidae
Exons: 3
Source: RefSeq, a predicted model, not a curated record